AUUCCAGCUCCAAUAGCGUAUACUAAAGUUGUUGCAGUUAAAAAGCUCGUAGUUGAAUUUCUGGUCUCGGACAGCGGUCUGCCUCAAACGAGGUACGCACCACCUGUUCAGGUCCAUCCUCGGAGAAAACAUGCCUGUGAUUCAGUUCAUGGGUAUGGGAUCUUCGUCAUUUACUGUGAGCAAAAUAUAGUGUUCAAAGCAGGCUUAUGCCGUUGAAUACAUUAGCAUGGAAUAAUAAAAUAAGACCUUGGUCUAUUUUGUUGGUUUGUACUCCAAGGUAAUGAUUAAUAGGGAUAGUUGGGGGUAUUCGUAUUCAAUUGUCAGAGGUGAAAUUCUUGGAUCUAUGGAAGACGAACUACUGCGAAAGCAUUUACCAAGGAUGUUUUCAUUA
This 391-nucleotide ribosomal RNA is filed under the name Chrysophyceae sp. RNAcentral's name for it is "partial small subunit ribosomal RNA". It matches the Rfam family "Eukaryotic small subunit ribosomal RNA", at positions 582 to 975 of the family's 1831-position model. Lineage: Eukaryota; Chrysophyceae. The record is from RNAcentral.